GUUGCAUACUGGUAGUACAAAAAUAAAAAAUACUUCCUAUACCUUAAAAUUAUUUCAUAGUUUAGUGGUGCAAGAGAUAUGUUCAAAAAUAAUUACAGCACAAUAAGUUCUAAUGCAAGAUAUGUGCCAAGUAUGUUCAAGUCCAGUGCUAAAGGACUAUUUACACCUCCUCUGUCUUCAUUAUUAGCUGAUGAAUCUUGCUUCCUGUUUUACUGAGAAAAUAGAACUAAAUAGAAGGGAGUUUCUACCACAUCUAAUUAAUAUACCUGCAUCUGUACCCAGGUACUCCGCUUCUCCUCUUGAUAACUGUAGGUAAAUUAUUUUGUUGUCCUUACCUAGAGCUAGUCAACUCAUUUAUGUACUACUAGAUUUCAUCCUUUUUCACCUACUCAAAUGCCUCUACCCUCUGAAUUAUUAGAUUUUUUUCCUCUCUAUAAGAUUAUUUCAAUUAGCAUACAAAACCUUUUAUAAUAUAUCAACAACAAGCCCUGGCAUCAUACUGCCACCCCUAGCCAUUUCUCUUCUCCAGUUGAGCAAAAUUCAUUAAAAAAAAAUCUGUUUCCUUUCCUUCCAUCUUCUUCCUGUUCUCAGUAGUUAGACUUCAUCCUCACUAUUCUACUAGUUUUAGUUUUGUUUAUGGUAAGGUCCUCAGUUCCUUCCACAUUACCAAAUCAAAUAAUUUAUUCUCAGUGCUCAUCUUACUCUAUCAGCUUCAUUGGCGUACUUGAUCACUUCCCCUUUUUGAAACACUAUUUUUACUUUGCUUCUAGAACACUGUCUCUUAUUUAUCCUCUUUCCUUACUGGCUGCAUCCUCUCAAUCUCCUUUGCUGGUUUCUCCUCUUGUCAACUUCUAAGUGUGAAAUGCCUAUUCUCAAACCAUAACUACUGUAUUCACUCUCUCCCAAGGUAAUUUUCUCAAUAAAAUGGUCUUAAAUACUAUUUUUAAGUUGGUUCAUUUACUCGGCAAAUAUUUGAGUGUCUUCUAUAUGCCAGUCACUGGUCUGUGUGCAGGGGUUACAUUAGUGAAGAAAACAAAAAUCCCUGUAUUUGAGGAGUUUACAUUGUAUCAGAGAAGACAGAUAGUACACAUUAGACAAUAAAUAAAUUGUCUAGGAAAUGUCAGAGGUGAUAAGUACUAUGGAAAAAGGAAAAUAGAACAGAACAAGGAGGUUGUUUUCCAAAUUUUUAUUCACUUUGGACAUCUUCACUGAAUUCCAGAAUCACAUAUCCAAAUACCAACUUGACAUCUGUUCUGUAACUGUAUCGGUAGUAAGCAUAUAUAAACUGAACUCCUGAUUUUCCUCCUGUUCUAGUUAUUUAUAAUAACCAUUUCAUUAUAUCUCAUGGUUUUAUAGGUGAGACGUUUGGUCAGGGCUCAGCUGGAUGAUUUGCCUCUGCUUCAAGAUGUCCGGGGCCUCAGCUGGGAUGGCUCAAAUGUCUGGAGAUGACUGGGGUCAUAUGUCUGGAUACUCUGUUUUUCAUACAGUGUAUGUUGAAGCUGGAAUCGUGGAAAUGGUUCCUUUACUCACAUGUGUGGUGCCUAUAGUGGAAUGAAUGGAACAGCUGGGGACGGGCUUAUAAUACUCUUUUCUCCUAUGGCAAUUUCAGGGUAGUUGGACCUGCUAUAUGGCUUCUGGAUUCCUCCAGAGCAAGCAUUCCAAAAGACAGUUCCAAGAGAUAAGAGGUGGAAGGUGCUAAUCUUCUAGAGUCUGGUACAGUUUAACUUUUGCUGUGUUCUUUUUAUGAUAAAGUUGUCACAGAGCCCACCUACAUUCAAGAAGAGGGGUCAUAACCCUAUCUCUCAGUGGGAGUAGUGUCAAAUAAUUUGUGGUCAUCUUUAAUCUACCACAGUCCACCCUCUGGCCACAAACUUAUACUCCUCCUAUGUGAAAAGCAUAUUCAAAUCCACCCAGGAAAGUCCCAUUCCAGUAGGGCAUUAGGCUUAGGCUCAAAAUUCAGGAUCCCAUCUAAAUCAGGCCCAGACGGAGAUGAGGUUACUCAGGUGCUUCAAUCUGAAGACCUGUGUACUUAGACAAAUUAUCUGUACCUCUUACACACACACACACACACACACACACACAUACACAUACACACUCUCAAACAUACAGUAGUAAGAGAAGUAUAUAGUUACUGUAGUAGAAACAUUCAUUGAAAAAGAUGGAAAACGAUGCACAUUUUAGUCACUGUUCACUAGUAAUUCUAAAAUUAAGUCAAGCAUAUGUUGCCAGUUGCUUGAUUAGGGCCCCAGUCCUGCUUCUUGAGAAUGACUCCAUUGGGCUCUUUGCUCUGCCCUUUGCACUCUUGGUUCAACCCUCAGUCAGCCUUUGUUUUUCAUAAGAAAUAACUCAAGACUUACACUUCCAGCUAAGACAAAGUAACCACAUUAUCUUCCUGUCCAAAACAACUGAAAAAUAGACAGCAUAUAUGAAAGGAUGUUUUUUAAGACAUGGGAUAUCAGGCAAGAAGGUAUAAUGAUAAUGAGCCCUAAGAGAUGGGGGGAAAGUGAGAUAAACCCUGUAUUACCCUAUCUUAUUGCUGUGAGAGUUUCCACCUUGUGGUACAAGUUGGGAGAAUCCAGGCAGAGCCAGUUGAACUAACUGAGUUGAGGAAGUAGAGCUAUGAGUCUGGGGAGACUAAGACAACAGGACUGGUUACUAGAGAAGAGAUUGCUACACAGAGAAUUCUAGAGAUCUUCAGAGGGUCCCCUUCUAGUAUCUGUACAGUGACUAAUUGUAUGCAUGUGAGGAAACUACCCAAGGCCAGGAAAAGAUUGAUCUACCCGAGAUGAUUAGAGGGAACCUUUCUUGAUAGCUAGAAUGGAAAAUUUCAAGAUUGACUAGGAAUUGGGUAGAGUAAUUGCAAUGGUAAUUGCAGUGUAGAAUAAUUAUUCCAACACUUAGCACUGAUCUAGUCUUGAGAGACAUCUUAAAAGCAAGAGGCAAAAGGCUCAAACUGUUUCCAAGUAACUGCAUCUCGGAACAGAGCUUAAAAGUAUGUAUAGGAAUAAAAAUAUAUCCAGUAGUCACAAUAAAAAAUUCAAAGUGUCUGGCAUCCAGUCAAAAAUUACAAGGCAUGCAAAGAAAGCAGCUACAUGAAUAAAUAUAUAAGAUUUUUUUCUUAUUCUCUAGAUUUCUUUAAAAGAUAUUUUACUUCUAUAAACAAAACCCAUAUGAGGUUUAUGACAUAUGUAAAAGCAAAAUAAAUGACAAUAAUAGCACAAGGGUGGGAAGGGGAGAAGUGAAAGUACAGGAUAUUGUACUAUAUUUGAAGCAGUAUAACAUAACUUGAAUGUAGGCCGUGAUAAAGAUAUGUAAUUAACUCUAAAGCAGAUCCUAAGAUAAAAAAACGAGCAAAUAGGGCUUCCCUGGUGUCGCAGUGGUUGAGAGUCCGCCUGCCGAUGCAGGGGACACGGGUUCAUGCCCUGGUCUGGAAAGGUCCCACGUGCCACGGAGCGGCUGAGCCCGUGAGCCAUGGCUGCAGAGUCUGCACGUCCGGAGCCUGUGCUCCACAAUGGGAGAGGCCGCAACAGUGAGAGGCCCGCAUACCAC
Molecule: long non-coding RNA, 3549 nt
Organism: Phocoena sinus (vaquita)
Lineage: Eukaryota; Metazoa; Chordata; Mammalia; Artiodactyla; Phocoenidae
Source: Ensembl